RNAcentral lists this signal recognition particle RNA (299 nucleotides) under Nomascus leucogenys (northern white-cheeked gibbon). Its description in RNAcentral is "Metazoan signal recognition particle RNA (ENSNLEG00000033198.1)". It matches the Rfam family "Metazoan signal recognition particle RNA". Rfam says of the family: The signal recognition particle (SRP) is a universally conserved ribonucleoprotein. It is involved in the co-translational targeting of proteins to membranes. Lineage: Eukaryota; Metazoa; Chordata; Mammalia; Primates; Hylobatidae. The record is from RNAcentral.
GCCGGGCGCGGUGGCGCGUGCCUGUAGUCCCAGCUGCUCGGGAGGCUGAGGCUGGAGGAUCGCUUGAGUCCAGGAGUUCUGGGCUGUAGUGCGCUAUGCCGAUCGGGUGUCCGCACUAAGUUCGGCAUCAAUAUGGUGACCUCCCGGGAGCGGGGGACCACCAGGUUGCCUAAGGAGGGGUGAACCGGCCCAGGUCGGAAACGGAGCAGGUCAAAACUCCCGUGCUGAUCAGUAGUGGGAUCGCGCCUGUGAAUAGCCACUGCACUCCAGCCUGGGCAACAUAGCGAGACCCCGUCUCU